This 482-nucleotide ribosomal RNA is filed under the name uncultured bacterium. Its description in RNAcentral is "partial 16S ribosomal RNA". It matches the Rfam family "Bacterial small subunit ribosomal RNA", at positions 30 to 507 of the family's 1533-position model. The record is from RNAcentral.
AUUGAACGCUGGCGGCAUGCCUUACACAUGCAAGUCGAACGGUAACGGGCCUUCGGGUGCCGACGAGUGGCGCGCGGGUGAGUAAUACAUCGGAACGUGCCCGAUCGUGGGGGAUAACGAGGCGAAAGCUUUGCUAAUACCGCAUACGAUCUACGGAUGAAAGCAGGGGACCGCAAGGCCUUGCGCGGACGGAGCGGCCGAUGGCAGAUUAGGUAGUUGGUGGGGUAAAAGCUUACCAAGCCGACGAUCUGUAGCUGGUCUGAGAGGAUGAUCAGCCACACUGGGACUGAGACACGGCCCAGACUCCUACGGGAGGCAGCAGUGGGGAAUUUUGGACAAUGGGCGCAAGCCUGAUCCAGCCAUGCCGCGUGCAGGAUGAAGGCCUUCGGGUUGUAAACUGCUUUUGUACGGAACGAAAAGCCUUCUUUUAAUACAGGAGGGUCAUGACGGUACCGUAAGAAUAAGCACCGGCUAACUACGUG